RNAcentral lists this ribosomal RNA (253 nucleotides) under uncultured bacterium. RNAcentral describes it as "partial 16S ribosomal RNA". It matches the Rfam family "Bacterial small subunit ribosomal RNA", at positions 524 to 776 of the family's 1533-position model. The record is from RNAcentral.
UACGUAGGGUGCGAGCGUUAAUCGGAAUUACUGGGCGUAAAGCGUACGCAGGCGGUUUUGUAAGCCAGAUGUGAAAUCCCCGGGCUCAACCUGGGAAUGGCAUUUGGGACUGCAAGGCUGGAGUACGGCAGAGGAGACUGGAAUUCCUGGUGUAGCAGUGAAAUGCGUAGAGAUCAGGAGGAAUACCGAUGGCGAAGGCAGGUCUCUGGGCUGAUACUGACGCUCAUGCACGAAAGCGUGGGGAGCAAACAGG